Long non-coding RNA from Harmonia axyridis, 842 nucleotides. RefSeq lists it as uncharacterized. Lineage: Eukaryota; Metazoa; Arthropoda; Insecta; Coleoptera; Coccinellidae. The record is from RefSeq and is a predicted model, not a curated record. The transcript is spliced from 3 exons.
GCCAUUUUUCAUAUUGGAUUCUGUAUUGAAUGAUGUUAUUGGAAAUUGUCUGACUUAUUUCGAGAAACUAUUAGUAACAAUUAAUUUUGGAUCGCUUGAAAUAUUGUCUACACCUGAAUAAAUUAUUGGUGCCUUAGAUUUUUGGUUUAUUUUGGAGAUUUAUGGUAUUUUGGGCCAAUAAAAUCGAUAUUCUUAUCGGAUUAAUCAUGAUACCAUUUUCUAAUACCUUUUACUCGAGGAUAACAUCUAAUCAAGUAAUUGAUCUUCGAACCUACCAUCUAUUAAAGCUGCAGAUAUUUCAGAAGUUAGAAAUCUGAUGCACAUAACAAGAGAACAAGAAGGAUCUUUCAUUUUUGAUUUUUGACCUUUGACAUGACAUCUUUCAUAUUUCAUCUUCAAUCUAUCAAGAUCUGCCACGGAUAUAUCCUGAUCAUUCCUGUAUUUAUUCAUCUCUCUGGACCUCCGAAGGAUUCAUUCAUCUUUAUUUUUCUUACUACCUUUUGGAAAGAGUUCAGAUGCACCAAUAAAGUGUACCAUCAGCUGAUUGAAACGUUACACUGGAAUUUAUUAUUAUUUUAACAGUCUAUUAUCCAAGACUGUGUAAGAAUUCAUGUCGAUACGUUGUAAUCAGACUCUACAAUAGGCUUCCUGCAGACCUGAGGUCUAGGGAAAACACCAGUAAAAAUGAUAUGAGGAAGGUCCUUGAAGAGAAUUCGUUUUAUACUAUUACAGAAUUUUCAACUCACAAAUUUGUAAUUUUUAUUGUAUGAAUGUAAAGAUAUUUUUAUGUUUGAAAACGUUCCUUGUUAAUUUUGAAGGAUAAUAAACUACUAUGACUAUGA